This 75-nucleotide transfer RNA is filed under the name Pengzhenrongella sicca. Its description in RNAcentral is "Micrococcales bacterium LRZ-2 tRNA-Val". It matches the Rfam family "tRNA". From Rfam's summary of the family: Transfer RNA (tRNA) molecules are approximately 80 nucleotides in length. Their secondary structure includes four short double-helical elements and three loops (D, anti-codon, and T loops). Further hydrogen bonds mediate the characteristic L-shaped molecular structure. tRNAs have two regions of fundamental functional importance: the anti-codon, which is responsible for specific mRNA codon recognition, and the 3' end, to which the tRNAs corresponding amino acid is attached (by aminoacyl-tRNA synthetases). tRNAs cope with the degeneracy of the genetic code in two manners: having more than one tRNA (with a specific anti-codon) for a particular amino acid; and 'wobble' base-pairing, i.e. permitting non-standard base-pairing at the 3rd anti-codon position. Lineage: Bacteria; Bacillati; Actinomycetota; Actinomycetes; Micrococcales. The record is from RNAcentral.
GGGCGAUUGGCUCAGCGGUAGAGCGCCUCGUUCACACCGAGGAGGUCACUGGUUCGAAUCCAGUAUCGCCCACCA